UUUGAUCCUGGCUCAGAUUGAACGCUGGCGGCAGGCCUAACACAUGCAAGUCGAACGGUAGCAGGAUGUGCUUGCACAUCGCUGACGAGUGGCGGACGGGUGAGUAAUGCUUAGGGAUCUGCCUCUGUGUGGGGGAUAACUAUUGGAAACGAUAGCUAAUACCGCAUAAUGUUUACGGACCAAAGGGGGCUUUUAGCUCCCGCGCAGAGAGGAACCUAAGUGAGAUUAGCUAGUUGGUGGGGUAAAGGCUCACCAAGGCGACGAUCUCUAGCUGUUCUGAGAGGAAGAUCAGCCACACUGGGACUGAGACACGGCCCAGACUCCUACGGGAGGCAGCAGUGGGGAAUAUUGCACAAUGGGGGAAACCCUGAUGCAGCCAUGCCGCGUGUGUGAAGAAGGCCUUCGGGUUGUAAAGCACUUUCAGUUGUGAGGAAAGGUUGAUGGUUAAUACC
This 452-nucleotide ribosomal RNA is filed under the name LMWdDNA-degrading marine bacterium 25. RNAcentral's name for it is "bacterial SSU rRNA". It matches the Rfam family "Bacterial small subunit ribosomal RNA", at positions 12 to 465 of the family's 1533-position model. RNAcentral also lists the same sequence under 3 other names. The record is from RNAcentral.